This is a long non-coding RNA of Oenanthe melanoleuca, 277 nucleotides long. RefSeq lists it as uncharacterized. The transcript is spliced from 3 exons. NCBI's taxonomy places the organism in Eukaryota, Metazoa, Chordata, Aves, Passeriformes, Muscicapidae. The record is from RefSeq and is a predicted model, not a curated record.
CCUGCUCAGGAAGGCAUUUGGGAGAGGAGGUGCCUUCCAGGGAGGCUGCUUGUUGCUUUGGAGACAGCAUGCACUGGAGUUCAGCUGGUGACGCAACGCAGAGGGGAUUUCUGCUUGUGUGGGGCUCUGGGCCAGCAAAAGACAUGAGGGCUGCCAGUGGCUGGAGCAGAACAAGCUGAGGUUGGAACCAAAGUACCAAACCAAAGAGAGAGGCAAAAAGGACCUUUAGAGCCAAGGAGAGAAACAAGAUAUUGAUUAAAUCUUCCAGCAAAGACCC